RNAcentral lists this ribosomal RNA (419 nucleotides) under uncultured bacterium. RNAcentral's name for it is "bacterial SSU rRNA". It matches the Rfam family "Bacterial small subunit ribosomal RNA", at positions 362 to 773 of the family's 1533-position model. The record is from RNAcentral.
UUUUGGACAAUGGGCGCAAGCCUGAUCCAGCCAUGCCGCGUGAGUGAAGAAGGCCUUCGGGUUGUAAAGCUCUUUUGUCAGGGAAGAAACGGCGGGAGCUAAUAUCUCCUGCUAAUGACGGUACCUGAAGAAUAAGCACCGGCUAACUACGUGCCAGCAGCCGCGGUAAAACGUAGGUACCGAGCGUUAUCCGGAUUUACUGGGCGUAAAGCGUGUUCAGGCGGUCUAGCAAGUCGGGCAUGAAAUCUCUGGGCUCAACCCGGAGGGGUUGUCCGAUACUGCUGGGCUUGAGGGCAGCAGAGGGUGGUGGAAUUCCGGGUGUAGUGGUGAAAUGCGUAGAUAUCCGGAGGAACACCAGUGGCGAAGGCGGCCACCUGGGCUGUACCUGACGCUCAAACACGAAAGCUAGGGGAGCGAAC